UGGACAGAUUAUUGUAUUCGACUGUAUUCACGGCGUAAAACAAGGGAUUACACCUUUUUAAAUGGAAAGUGAAUCAAUUAACAUAAUAGACUCCU
Molecule: microRNA precursor, 95 nt
Filed under: Nicotiana attenuata
Lineage: Eukaryota; Viridiplantae; Streptophyta; Magnoliopsida; Solanales; Solanaceae
Description: MIR6152 microRNA precursor family
Rfam family: MIR6152 microRNA precursor family
Source: Rfam by way of RNAcentral